CGCACCGGAGAAAGAACAUACAAGCUGCUGGACAUUGAGAGGAACACACUGGCAGAAGAGCACACAGGCAGCUGGAUGUCGAGAGGGGCGGAAGAGCACAGCGACAGGCACUGGUGUAGACCGGCGGAACGACGUGGAGUUUGGCCCGGGAGGUUAGAGAAGACUUUGGCUGCUGGGCAGCCCCACUAUAGGGGAAAACCACCUUCCCACUGCGUUCCCCUUCUGAUCUCCCCACCCACCUCGCUGACAGCUACCACAACUCAAUAAAAAACCUUGCACUCAAUCUCCAAGCCCACAUGUGAUCCAGUUUUUCCCGUGCACUAAAGCAAGAACCUGGGAUACAGAAAGCCCUCUGUCCUUGUGAUAAGGCAGAGGGUCUAAUUGAGCUGAUUGACUCAAGCCACCUGCAGACAGCUAAGCUGAAAAAGCAUCCUGUAACACACGCCCACUGGGGCCUCAGCAGGUGUAAACAUUCACCCCGAGAGGCUGCAUGGGUCCGCGCCCAUGGUGCCCAUGAUUUGCCUGUUCCCCUGCUCCGGCUAAGGGUCUUGACCAGUGGGGCACUGAAGAAGCGAGCCACACCCCCAUCGUACGCCCUGCGAGGAGGGGUUUCACUCAGUGACCCAGGCUGAAUGCAGUGGAACAGUCAUGGCUCACUGUAGCCUUGAUCUUGAGGGCUUAAGCAAUCCUGCCACCUCAGCCUGCCUAGUACUGGGACUACAGAAACAUCAAAUAUAUUCAGCUUCCGUCUCUCUUCAACCAUGUAAAAUUAUUUCAACAACUAUCAGCAAUUGAAGGUGAAACUGGCAUGUCUGUUUGUUCUUCUCUUCCUGGUGUCAAAGACUCUUAAAGCAUGCA
Symphalangus syndactylus (siamang) is the source of this 858-nucleotide long non-coding RNA. RefSeq lists it as uncharacterized. NCBI's taxonomy places the organism in Eukaryota, Metazoa, Chordata, Mammalia, Primates, Hylobatidae. The record is from RefSeq and is a predicted model, not a curated record.